Molecule: ribosomal RNA, 497 nt
Filed under: uncultured bacterium
Lineage: Bacteria
Description: partial 16S ribosomal RNA
Rfam family: Bacterial small subunit ribosomal RNA
Source: RNAcentral
GAUGAACGCUGGCGGCGUGCCUAAUACAUGCAAGUCGAGCGAACGGACGAGAAGCUUGCUUUUCUGAUGUUAGCGGCGGACGGGUGAGUAACACGUGGAUAACCUACCUAUAAGACUGGGAUAACUUCGGGAAACCGGAGCUAAUACCGGAUAAUAUUUUGAACCGCAUGGUUCAAAAGUGAAAGACGGUCUUGCUGUCACUUAUAGAUGGAUCCGCGCUGCAUUAGCUAGUUGGUAAGGUAACGGCUUACCAAGGCAACGAUGCAUAGCCGACCUGAGAGGGUGAUCGGCCACACUGGAACUGAGACACGGUCCAGACUCCUACGGGAGGCAGCAGUAGGGAAUCUUCCCCAAUGGGCGAAAGCCUGACGGAGCAACGCCGCGUGAGUGAUGAAGGUCUUCGGAUCGUAAAACUCUGUUAUUAGGGAAGAACAUAUGUGUAAGUAACUGUGCACAUCUUGACGGUACCUAAUCAGAAAGCCACGGCUAACUACGUG